CCUACGGGGAGCUGCAGUGGGGAAUAUUGCGCAAUGGGCGAAAGCCUGACGCAGCGACGCCGCGUGAGGGAUGAAGGUCUUCGGAUCGUAAACCUCUGUCAGCAGGGAAGAACGGUCACUGUGCUAAUCAGCAGUGAAUUGACGGUACCUGCAAAGGAAGCACCGGCUAACUCCGUGCCAGCAGCCGCGGUAAUACGGAGGGUGCGAGCGUUAAUCGGAAUUAUUGGGCGUAAAGCGCUCGUAGGCGGUAUGUCAAGUCAAGGGGGAAAUCCCCGCGCUCAACGUGGGAACUGCCUUUGAAACUGGCAAACUAGAGUGUGAGAGAGGAAAGUGGAAUUCCAGGUGUAGGAGUGAAAUGCGUAGAUAUCUGGAGGAACAUCAGUGGCGAAGGCAACUUUCUGGCUCAUAACUGACGCUGAGGAGCGAAAGCGUGGGUAGCAAACAGGAUUAGAUACCCGAGUAGUC
RNAcentral lists this ribosomal RNA (465 nucleotides) under uncultured bacterium. RNAcentral's name for it is "partial 16S ribosomal RNA". It matches the Rfam family "Bacterial small subunit ribosomal RNA", at positions 338 to 795 of the family's 1533-position model. The record is from RNAcentral.